CUACGCACUCCUACGGGAGGCAGCAGUGGGGAAUAUUGCACAAUGGGCGCAAGCCUGAUGCAGCCAUGCCGCGUGGGGACGACGGCCUUCGGGUUGUAAACCUCUUUUAGCAGGGAAGAAGCGCAAGUGACGGUACCUGCAGAAAAAGCACCGGCUAACUACGUGCCAGCAGCCGCGGUAAUACGUAGGGUGCAAGCGUUGUCCGGAAUUAUUGGGCGUAAAGAGCUCGUAGGCGGUUUGUCGCGUCUGCUGUGAAAAAUCCCGAGGCUCAACCUCGGACCUGCAGUGGGUACGGGCAAACUAGAGUGCGGUAGGGGAGAUUGGAAUUCCUGGUGUAGCGGUGGAAUGCGCAGAUAUCAGGAGGAACACCAAUGGCGAAGGCAGAUCUCUGGGCCGUAACUGACGCUGAGGAGCGAAAGCGUGGGGAGCGAACAGGAUUAGAUACCCUGGUAG
Molecule: ribosomal RNA, 453 nt
Filed under: uncultured bacterium
Lineage: Bacteria
Description: bacterial SSU rRNA
Rfam family: Bacterial small subunit ribosomal RNA
Source: RNAcentral